Molecule: small RNA, 58 nt
Filed under: Arabidopsis thaliana (thale cress)
Lineage: Eukaryota; Viridiplantae; Streptophyta; Magnoliopsida; Brassicales; Brassicaceae
Description: ATSL045830
Source: RNAcentral
AAUAUAUGUAAAAUAUAUUAAUACGGGACGAUAUAUUACAGGAGAAAUACUCAAUAUA